AUACAUUUGCAUCUAGCGUAGGAAGUGCGCAAAGUUACGCCUUUAUAGAUAUGAUGCGUGAGAGCUUGUAAGGAAUGCGUUGGAUUUCAAACUUUGUAAAAUCCA
Molecule: small RNA, 105 nt
Filed under: Helicobacter pylori 26695
Lineage: Bacteria; Pseudomonadati; Campylobacterota; Epsilonproteobacteria; Campylobacterales; Helicobacteraceae
Description: Heliobacter pylori small RNA HPnc0580
Rfam family: Heliobacter pylori small RNA HPnc0580
Source: Rfam by way of RNAcentral